GACGCUCUCCCCAAGGACGAAGCCAUGCAUGCCCGCUCACCCGGGACGCGGCGGACGGCUCAGGACGACGGUUGCACCCCCCGCGGCGGUCCCUGCUAGCCGGACACCGCUGGCAACCCGGCGCCAAGA
RNAcentral lists this ribosomal RNA (129 nucleotides) under Giardia duodenalis. RNAcentral's name for it is "Giardia intestinalis partial 18S ribosomal RNA". The record is from RNAcentral. Lineage: Eukaryota; Fornicata; Diplomonadida; Hexamitidae.